Molecule: ribosomal RNA, 116 nt
Filed under: uncultured Acidobacteriota bacterium
Lineage: Bacteria; Pseudomonadati; Acidobacteriota
Description: uncultured Acidobacteria bacterium partial 16S small subunit ribosomal RNA
Rfam family: Bacterial small subunit ribosomal RNA
Source: RNAcentral
UCCUACGGGAGGCAGCAGUGGGGAAUUUUGCGCAAUGGGGGAAACCCUGACGCAGCAACGCCGCGUGGAGGAUGAAGCCCCUCGGGACGUAAACUCCUUUCGACCGGACGAAAUGA